Molecule: long non-coding RNA, 1919 nt
Organism: Anguilla anguilla (European eel)
Lineage: Eukaryota; Metazoa; Chordata; Actinopteri; Anguilliformes; Anguillidae
Exons: 4
Source: RefSeq, a predicted model, not a curated record
GAUCUUCCGCCCAUCCCGUCUCCCCUGCUAAAGCCCAGAAGGUGAUGGAGAAGUCGGCUACGCUCUGGUUCCCCUGACUGAUGCGGAGGCCAGCCUGAAGAGGGACUGACUUAAGAGUGCUAGAGUGCCCUAUAUCGUCUCCUUGGGAAGUAGACCACUGCGGACUGCAAACAUAGCAGAACCCUUUUUGGAUCGGAGAAAAAAGUACCGUUCUCCGAGGACUGGACUCUGACUUCAGGGAGCAGCUCCACCCAUCAGAGGAUGCAAGGAAAAGAAGCAAGGAAACGACUUGAGGACUGAGGAAUCGAGGAAACGUGUAUAAGGCAAUUGCAACAUCCUGGCUUUGAAGCAUCAGACAUGGCAGAUGGGGAGUGGUGGAUCUCAUUGAUUUGCAUAUUUAACUAGACAGGCAAGCAUGCCUUCAGCUAACCUAAACUUAUGAAUCCCGGAAGUAAGCCUGUACUGCGUGUGUUGAAGGCAAAACAUUGGAGGGAAUAUCAGACUUUUGAAGUCAAAAUAAACGUGCUCCGUGGUAUUUUGAAACUCGAUUGACAACCAUUACGUUUCAUAUGAGAAGCAGAUUGCAAAAUAUGCAUUAUGUAAUAAAAUAUGCACAUUUUAAUGAACAUUUUCCCCAAACUUCUGGGCCAAAACAGACAUUGUUUCAGAAACUGCUGCACAUAAUAAAAUUUAUGAUCACAAAAAAUGGGCCAAUGGGGUUUUAUUUGGUUGUUAAAUCACCUUGGAUUUCUACAUUGAAUUCAAUGGGCAGCAAUCGCUUUUGCUCUCAAGCAUGCGCAGUAGAGACUGUUUCGUGUUACUUCCUAGGCUUCACCGCCUGGCCCCUCCUACCCUCUCCAGUUCCUGUAUACAUUCUAUGGGUGGAUCCAUAAGUAAAUCAUUAUACGUCACAUGUUCCGAAAAAAUACUUCUGCGAAGGAUGCACUCAGUGCACUUUCUUGAAACCUAAGCUAUAGAAUGGAACUCAAUAGCAAAUAUGAGUGAGCACCUGGGCAGUUGCUAAAGAAGGUAAUGUAAAUCUCUUCGGUCAGAACAACAGUGCAAUUGUAAGAUGAUAUGGCACACAAGUCAUGAAUUUCUUUACCUCAAGUGAGUGUAUUUUCAGAGAACUUGACACAUUAUACAGGUGGUCUACUGCAGAACUACUGCAGAAGCCAGGGCUGCGGCUAUGUGGCAACAGUUCCCAGUCACCUUGGUGUCACCUACUGCUCAGCGGUAUGGCCAAGGUUUAACACAAGGGUGGGCAAGGCUAUAAAAUACCCUUAUUUUAUCAAGCUCAGUCUUCUGCAAGACUUGGCAUUUUAGCAGAAUGCAUCAAUAAGCUCAUUAAUAAUGAGUGAAAAUAUUUUACAUUUUAUACUACUAUUUUUUCUAACACAAAUAUAAAAAGUCUUAUUGUAGUCUAAUCCAUGAGUGAACUGACUUUGGUAUAUUCAGAUACUUAGUCAGUUGAGCCAGGGAUAAUUUUUGGAAAGAAAAACAUGUAUACCAACUGGACCUCCAGGAGCUGAACUGUCCACCCCUGUUCUAAACCGAACCACAAAUAAGCUACACGCGAUCUCACGCAUCGUGACCAUUCUAUACUACCCUGUUUUGUUGUUAAAACUACAUGGGAUGCUUCCAUUGCUAGUCAUCAUGAUAUAUCUCAGUAGAAGGAUCAUAGAAACCUUUGGCAUCUUAUCACAGUUCACUAAGUUCCUCAUGUUUUGUUGCUGUCCAGUGUAGGUUUUUGGCUUGAUGCUUGUGUCUGAUUUUACUGUGUCUACUUCAGAGGGUCCCUUCUUGAUUCUGGCUGUGGAGCUGAGGCGUACCUUACAGCAAAGAGUGGCUCCUUGUUGGAAUGUUACACUAUUGAAUGGUUGAUUUUCAGCAGGUGUUGGUAAUCCCUUGUGUUCUUA